Molecule: long non-coding RNA, 320 nt
Filed under: Vitis vinifera (wine grape)
Lineage: Eukaryota; Viridiplantae; Streptophyta; Magnoliopsida; Vitales; Vitaceae
Description: long non-coding RNA (VVIN_LNC003687)
Source: RNAcentral
GACGAUCGAGCUCCAGGUGCGCAGUGCGCACCUGUCGAUCCACCAAGACAAUGGCUCCAUGCACGUGGGCACCUCCGUCUGGCCCUGCUCCCUCGUCCUAGUCAAGUUCGCAGAGCGCUGGUCCCCUCUAACGUCGUCCUCCUCAUCCUCCACCCCCAAUCCCUACGCCCACCUCCUCGACUUCUCCAACAAGCGCGCAGUGGAGCUGGGCUGCGGAUGCGGCCUCGCCUCCAUGGGCCUCUUCCUCCUUGGUCUAAACGACGUCGUUCUCACUGAUAUCGCUCCGGUCAUGCCCGCCCUUAAGCACAACCUCAAGCGCA